GGCACGAAGUCGUCUUAAUUUAUUUCUCAUAAUCUAUAUUUUAUUUCACUAUAUUAUUUAUUGAAGCAUCAAAAAACACAGUAAUGGCGAUAGAAGUUUUGUCUUAAAGAAUCUAAGUACCGCAAGGGAAAAAUAUGAACUAGAAAAAAGUAGUUUGUCAAACGUGCUUUUUGUAUCACGACUUAGCAAGAGCAAACCAGACAUACUGAGUUCUCGAAAUCUAACGAGCUAUUUUGUUUUAAUUUAUUAGAAUUUUAGCUCUAAAUGUGGCAAAAUUUAAGGAAUAAAUAAAAAUAGAGAUGAAAUUUCAUUCGCGUUAGUGAUAGCUAGUUCUCCUUAAAAAAUAUAAAAGUAUUAAAGUAAGGUAAAGUUAGUAGGUAAAUUUUUCAGCCUUUAACAAUCCUUAAGGUUCACUUGUCCGAGGAUAAGCUCGGACAAGGCUUUGAGAGCGGUAUAUAGGUUUAUCUUUGUGUGGGCUUAAGAUUGGCCACCACGUGUAAGCUUGUUAUAAAGUAGUCUACAACUUCUUUAAAAAUUAAUAUACUAAAUUCCAAUAAAGAUAGCUGGAGUAUUAAUAAUUGAAACCAAUCAAAUUAAAUACCUAUGCUAAGAUGAGUAUUACACUUAAAAAUAACUUAGAAAAGUAAUAAAGAAUUUUUUUAGAAUCAUAUUAUUGCAGAUAAAUUAAAUAUCUAGAAGGAACUCGGCAAAAAUCUGCUUCGCCUGUUUAUCAAAAACAUGGCUCUUUGUUUUACCCACAUAAAGAGUCGAGCCUGCCCAGUGAAGAAUUUUAACGGCCGCGGUACUCUGACCGUGCAAAGGUAGCAUAAUCAUUUGCCUUAUAAUUGAAGGCUAGUAUGAAUGGUUUGACGAAAGCAGAUCUGUCUCCUUUUUACUUUUUAGAACUUGACCUUUAGGUGAAGAGGCCUAAAUAUUAUUGAAGGACAAGAAGACCCUGUCGAGCUUAAAAGAGAUGUGCGGAAGUUAAUAUUCUCCUAAAUAAAUAACCCGUUAAGCUUUUUAGUUGGGGCGACUGAGGAACAAAAAAAGCUUCUUAAUCAAAAAAGACUAACAAGUUUAGAUCCAACCAGUUUGAUUUAAGAAAUUAGUUACCGCAGGGAUAACAGCAUAAUCUCCUUUGAGAGACCUAAUCGAAAGGGGGGGUUGUGACCUCGAUGUUGGACUAGAAUAUCCUAAAGAUGCAGAAGUCUUUAAAGGUUGGUCUGUUCGACCAUAAAAAUUCUACAUGAUCUGAGUUCAGACCGGCGUGAGCCAGGUCAGUUUCUAUCCUCAAUUUAUAUCCUUGGGCUUAGUACGAAAGGAUUGGCCUAAGAAAUACUAUUUUUUUUAAGAACAAAUAUAACUAACAGAUUAAUUUUAUU
This 1382-nucleotide ribosomal RNA is filed under the name Cerithidea obtusa. RNAcentral's name for it is "16S ribosomal RNA". It matches the Rfam family "Bacterial large subunit ribosomal RNA", at positions 581 to 2815 of the family's 2925-position model. The record is from RNAcentral. Lineage: Eukaryota; Metazoa; Mollusca; Gastropoda; Potamididae.